UUUUUUAAAUAUAUACCUGUUAUAAAUAUUUAUAGGUGUAAUAUAACAUUUAUUACAAUAAACAUGUAACAUUUAUAUUACACGUUUACCAGUAAACAUUUAUGAUUUAUAUGUGUCUAAUUUGGGAAGACAAACCAACCAGGUGUCUAAUUUGGGAAGACAAACCAACCAGGUGUCUAAUUUGGGAAGACACCAGGCCAGGUGUUGGACCAUGAAAAACUUCCAGCAGCUAUAAAAGAGGAAGAAAUCUGUGGUGAUAACAUUAAACAUUUAUAUGUGUAAUAACAUUUAUUACACAUAGAUGAACAACAUCAGUUUGCUUCUACUCAGCUUACAGAUCCUUCUCCUCCUCCCUUCUCCAAGCUUCUACUGCCCGGUAAUGGGUAGAAACCCACUAACCCGACCCACUCACCCGCUUAAAAAAGCAUUUUGGAAAGCGCUCCUCCAGG
Molecule: long non-coding RNA, 449 nt
Filed under: Zostera marina
Lineage: Eukaryota; Viridiplantae; Streptophyta; Magnoliopsida; Alismatales; Zosteraceae
Description: long non-coding RNA (ZMAR_LNC004342)
Source: RNAcentral